UACCAGGUAUAUCAAUGCCAAACGCCCAAUACCACUUGGCAGGAAAUAUCUUCCAAAUUCCUGCCGGUAUACUUGACGAACCAUUCUACACAGUUGGCGGACCAAUGUAUAUCAACUUUGGUUCUCUAGGAUCGGUGAUAGGACAUGAAAUUAUGCACGGGUAUGAUACACGAGGUCGUGAGUUUGACGAAAUCGGUCAGAAGAAAACUUGGUGGUCAGAAGAAUCCAUCCAAGCGUUCGACGAGAGGAAACAAUGC
This is a long non-coding RNA of Lineus longissimus, 257 nucleotides long. RefSeq lists it as uncharacterized. The record is from RefSeq and is a predicted model, not a curated record. The transcript has 3 exons. Lineage: Eukaryota; Metazoa; Nemertea; Pilidiophora; Heteronemertea; Lineidae.